This 691-nucleotide ribosomal RNA is filed under the name uncultured bacterium. RNAcentral's name for it is "bacterial SSU rRNA". It matches the Rfam family "Bacterial small subunit ribosomal RNA", at positions 66 to 724 of the family's 1533-position model. The record is from RNAcentral.
ACGAGAGGACAAGAGAAGCUUGCUUCUUUUGGAAUCGAGUGGCAAACGGGUGAGUAACACGUAAACAACCUGCCUUCAGGAUGGGGACAACAGACGGAAACGACUGCUAAUACCGAAUACGCUUGGGAGACCGCAUGAUCUUCCAAGGAAAGGGUGGCCUCUACCUGUAAGCUAUCGCCUGAAGAGGGGUUUGCGUCUGAUUAGGCAGUUGGCGAGGUAACGGCCCACCAAACCUACGAUCAGUAGCCGGUCUGAGAGGAUGAACGGCCACACUGGAACUGAGACACGGUCCAGACUCCUACGGGAGGCAGCAGUGGGGAAUCUUCCGCAAUGGGCGAAAGCCUGACGGAGCAACGCCGCGUGAGUGAUGACGGCCUUCGGGUUGUAAAGCUCUGUGAUCGGGGACGAACGGUCCGUAAGUCAAUACCUUAUGGAAGUGACGGUACCCGAAUAGCAAGCCACGGCUAACUACGUGCCAGCAGCCGCGGUAAUACGUAGGUGGCAAGCGUUGUCCGGAAUUAUUGGGCGUAAAGCGCGCGCAGGCGGCUUUCUAAGUCCAUCUUAAAAGUGCGGGGCUUAACCCCGUGAUGGGAUGGAAACUGGAAAGCUGGAGUAUCGGAGAGGAAAGUGGAAUUCCUAGUGUAGCGGUGAAAUGCGUAGAGAUUAGGAAGAACACCGGUGGCGAAGGCGA